RNAcentral lists this ribosomal RNA (593 nucleotides) under uncultured fungus. RNAcentral describes it as "eukaryotic LSU rRNA". It matches the Rfam family "Eukaryotic large subunit ribosomal RNA", at positions 40 to 647 of the family's 3401-position model. The record is from RNAcentral. Lineage: Eukaryota; Fungi.
AUAUCAAUAAGCGGAGGAAAAGAAACUAACAAGGAUUCCCCUAGUAACGGCGAGUGAAGCGGGAAGAGCUCAAAUUUAAAAUCUGGCGGUCUCAGGCUGUCCGAGUUGUAAUCUAGAGAGGUGUUUUCCGUACCGGACCGUGUAAAAGUCCCUUGGAACAGGGCGUCAUAGAGGGUGAGAAUCCCGUCCAUGACACGGACUACCAGUGCUCUGUGAUACACCUUCAAAGAGUCGAGUUGUUUGGGAAUGCAGCUCAAAAUGGGUGGUAAAUUCCAUCUAAAGCUAAAUAUUGGCCAGAGACCGAUAGCGCACAAGUAGAGUGAUCGAAAGAUGAAAAGCACUUUGAAAAGAGGGUUAAAUAGCACGUGAAAUUGUUGAAAGGGAAGCGCUUGUGACCAGACUUGCGCCGGGCAGAUCAUCCGGUGUUCUCACCGGUGCACUCUGCCCGGCUCAGGCCAGCAUCGGUUCUCGUGGGGGGAUAAAGGUCCCGGGAACGUAGCUCCUCCGGGAGUGUUAUAGCCCGGGGCGUAAUGCCCUCGUGGGGACCGAGGUUCGCGCAUCUGCAAGGAUGCUGGCGUAAUGGUCAUCAGCGA